RNAcentral lists this small RNA (127 nucleotides) under Rhizobium oryziradicis. RNAcentral's name for it is "Alphaproteobacterial ar14". It matches the Rfam family "Alphaproteobacterial ar14". Rfam says of the family: Smr14C2 was renamed NfeR1 (Nodule Formation Efficiency RNA) highly expressed in salt stress and during the symbiotic interaction on legume roots. Lineage: Bacteria; Pseudomonadati; Pseudomonadota; Alphaproteobacteria; Hyphomicrobiales; Rhizobiaceae. The record is from Rfam by way of RNAcentral.
AAUCAUCGAAGCGACGCACUCCUCCUCCCAGUGUCGCUUUGUUGGGAUCGGCAAUACUCCUCCUCCUCCCAAUUGCCGAUCAAGUUCAAGAGCUCGACGCAUCCUCCUCCCGCGUCGAGCUCUUUUC